Molecule: ribosomal RNA, 794 nt
Filed under: uncultured Sphingobacteriales bacterium
Lineage: Bacteria; Pseudomonadati; Bacteroidota; Sphingobacteriia; Sphingobacteriales
Description: bacterial SSU rRNA
Rfam family: Bacterial small subunit ribosomal RNA
Source: RNAcentral
GUCGGACGGGAUCUAUGGCUUCGGCUUUAGUGAGAGUGGCGGACGGGUGCGUAACGCGUGAGCAACCUACCCAUGCCAGGGGGACAGCCCGGGGAAACUCGGGUUAAUCCCGCAUGUUGCGUUGGGGUCGCAUGACCUUUACGCUAAACAAUUUCGGGGCAUGGAUGGGCUCGCGUGGCAUUAGCUAGUCGGCGGGGUAACGGCCCACCGAGGCGAUGAUGCCUAGGGGCCCUGAGAGGGGGAUCCCCCACACCGGUACUGAGACACGGACCGGACUCCUACGGGAGGCAGCAGUAGGGAAUAUUGGUCAAUGGGCGGAAGCCUGAACCAGCCAUGCCGCGUGCGGGACGAAGGCCCUACGGGUCGUAAACCGCUUUUCCACGGGAACAGUCCCCGCCACGUGUGGCGGGUCGAGGGUACCGUGGGAAUAAGGAUCGGCUAACUCCGUGCCAGCAGCCGCGGUAAUACGGAGGAUCCGAGCGUUAUCCGGAUUCAUUGGGUUUAAAGGGUGCGCAGGCGGCCUAUUAAGCAGGGGGUGAAAUAUGGCGGCUCAACCGCCUUACUGCCUCCUGAACUGUUGGGCUUGGAUGCCGUUGGGGGCGGCGGAAUGGGGCAAGUAGCGGUGAAAUGCAUAGAUAUGCCCCGGAACACCGAUCGCGGAGGCAGCUGCCCAAACGGUCAUCGACGCUGAUGCACGAAAGCGUGGGGAUCGAACAGGAUUAGAUACCCUGGUAGUCCACGCCGUAAACGAUGAUGGCUCGGUGCCGGCGACAGACUGUCGGUGCCCAAGCGAA